Cinara cedri is the source of this 245-nucleotide non-coding RNA. Lineage: Eukaryota; Metazoa; Arthropoda; Insecta; Hemiptera; Aphididae. The record is from the annotation of a GenBank genome assembly.
GAACAAAUACGACAAAUAAUACUCUGCUCAAAAUAAUUUUUUAUUAGCAAUAGUUUAUCGUCGCGUACAGAUAUUAAUUAAAUUACUCUAUAUUACAGUCUUCCUCCCAACUUCUCUCCUAAAACAGUGACACACCCAUCAACAGUAUCAGCUUUCUAUUUGAUUAUUUGUUUAUUUUAAUAAUGUGAAAAGGGCAAUAAAAUAUAGUUAUAAAAGAAUAAAAAAACUAUUGGAUAUCGAGACGA